CAAUCAAACCGGGCGGGCCAUUUUGUCCGCUGCGUAGCCAGUGCCCUACAUUAUUGGUCCUCUUGGACCAAAUGGAUUUGUUAUAAUUUAAAUGAAAACAAACACCGCGUAAUGAUGGCGGCUAAGGGAAAUCAAACAAAAUGGAAAUGCUGGUGGAAGCCAAAUCAAAUAAACAACAGUGACCAAAGAAACAACCGUCCAGGGCAUUUGGGAUCAUCGUGCCGGAGCCCAUAGCUGGAUUGCCGUUGGCGACAUAGAAGAUUACCCAUAAAAGACUAGCCGUUGGGAGAAUGAUAACGGGAAGGAGAAUUCAAAUUUUGAUUGAGACCAGAAAAAAAGCAUUUGAAAUUAAGAUAAAUAUAAACAUUUCAGUUUCAUUCGGUUACAGACAUUCUUUCUUUAUCUGAUUGCCUCUUUCUGUUGAUGUUCUGUUCCGUGAUUGUCCCUUUCUGUCAAUCUUCUGUUCUCUGAUUGCCCCUUUCGGUCAAUGUUCUAUUCUUUCUCUCUAUUUUGUUCAUUUUUUUUUUGAAGUGCUUGCUUUGUUUUCAUUUUUCAUUUUCUUGUGUGCAGCGUGCACGCUGGUCUGUAUUGUUUUUGGCCUGUCUGUCUAUUUUUUUUGGUGUUACAUUUUUCUGGCAGAGGAGAGGAAAGGCAGAGCAGAGGAAGAGGCAGAUCAAGCGAGGGCAAAAUCUUCUUCCAGGCAUGAGAUGCAGGGUCCAGCAAGAGUUCAUCUAACCGAUGAAGAGAAGAAGAGACGGGAUGUUCCUUAUGACCUGAUUCCUAGAUCACAAGUAACUGCUAUAGAAGGAAACCAUAUUUUCAAAACAGCUAACCCAGUGUUUGACUUUUCUGUGUUCUCAGGCAAUGAGUUGAUCUUCACCUGCACAGCUAAUCCAUUUGGAUUUGCCAAGCACAAAUCCUAUGGAGAGGUUCUGUUCAACUCCUUGUAUGGCAGCUUAGUUUUCAAUAUCUGAUAUGAAAUUGUUGAGGGAAUGGCUAUGUUAUCUGCAUCAUGAUGGUAAUCCUCUGGUUGUGCAUGGAGAUGAGCACCAGUGUACUAAUGGACAGUCACAUGGAGGCUCAGAUGGCUGAUUUUGGUUAGCCAGACUCAUGCAGAGGGAAGCCACCUUGUGCUCUAGCGUAUACACUGCACCAUGUUCAUCUCCAUUAGAUGUGGUUCAGCAGUUCACUGAUUUCAUAGGACAUAGUAACAUACAGCUGCAAUGCCCUAUUGGUCUUCUGGUAUGUCUGUAGAUGCCCUGCUCUAGAGUUUUUUGGUGUAGCAUUGUGUUGUUUAUUUGGUUUCAAGUAUUUUACAGAGCCUGCAAAUCAUCUACUCAAGUAAGGCCAAAGUAUCAGUUCACUGAGUGUUAUUGGUUCUGUAUUUUACCGAGUAGCGAAGUUUGUUUACCAUUGGAAAUCAGUAGUUUUGGUUCAGGGUUUAAUAUUUUUUUUGGA
Molecule: long non-coding RNA, 1458 nt
Organism: Cryptomeria japonica (Japanese cedar)
Lineage: Eukaryota; Viridiplantae; Streptophyta; Pinopsida; Cupressales; Cupressaceae
Exons: 4
Source: RefSeq, a predicted model, not a curated record